AGGGUUUGAUCAUGGCUCAGGAUGAACGCUGGCGGCGUGCUUAACACAUGCAAGUCGAACGAACCUUCGGGUUAGUGGCGGACGGGUGAGUAACGCGUGAGAAUCUGCCCUCAGGAGGGGGAUAACGGUUGGAAACGACCGCUAAUACCCCAUAUGCCUACUGGUGAAACGAAUUUCGCCUGAGGAUGAGCUCGCGUCUGAUUAGCUAGUUGGUGAGGUAAUGGCUCACCAAGGCUUCGAUCAGUAGCUGGUCUGAGAGGAUGAUCAGCCACACUGGGACUGAGACACGGCCCAGACUCCUACGGGAGGCAGCAGUGGGGAAUUUUCCGCAAUGGGCGAAAGCCUGACGGAGCAACGCCGCGUGAGGGACGAAGGCCUCUGGGCUGUAAACCUCUUUUCUCAAGGAAGAAGAUAUGACGGUACUUGAGGAAUAAGCCACGGCUAAUUCCGUGCCAGCAGCCGCGGUAAUACGGGAGUGGCAAGCGUUAUCCGGAAUUAUUGGGCGUAAAGCGUCCGCAGGCGGCUUUUCAAGUCUGCUGUUAAAACGUGGAGCUUAACUCCAUCAUGGCAGUGGAAACUGAAAGGCUUGAGUAUGGUAGGGGCAGAGGGAAUUCCCGGUGUAGCGGUGAAAUGCGUAGAUAUCGGGAAGAACACCAGUGGCGAAGGCGCUCUGCUGGGCCAUUACUGACGCUCAUGGACGAAAGCCAGGGGAGCGAAAGGGAUUAGAUACCCCUGUAGUCCUGGCCGUAAACGAUGAACACUAGGUGUCGGGGGAAUCGACCCCUUCGGUGUCGUAGCUAACGCGUUAAGUGUUCCGCCUGGGGAGUACGCACGCAAGUGUGAAACUCAAAGGAAUUGACGGGGGCCCGCACAAGCGGUGGAGUAUGUGGUUUAAUUCGAUGCAACGCGAAGAACCUUACCAGGGUUUGACAUCCUGCGAACCUCUUAGAAAUUUGAGGGUGCCUUCGGGAAUGCAGUGACAGGUGGUGCAUGGCUGUCGUCAGCUCGUGUCGUGAGAUGUUGGGUUAAGUCCCGCAACGAGCGCAACCCACGUUUUUAGUUGCCAGCAUUUAGUUGGGCACUCUAGAAAGACCGCCGGUGAUAAACCGGAGGAAGGUGUGGAUGACGUCAAGUCAUCAUGCCCCUUACACCCUGGGCUACACACGUACUACAAUGCUACGGACAAAGGGCAGCAAACUCGCGAGAGCUAGCAAAUCCCAUAAACCGUGGCUCAGUUCAGAUCGUAGGCUGCAACUCGCCUACGUGAAGUAGGAAUCGCUAGUAAUCGCAGGUCAGCAUACUGCGGUGAAUACGUUCCCGGGCCUUGUACACACCGCCCGUCACACCAUGGAAGUUGGCCAUGCCCGAAGUCGUUACUCCAACCCUUGUGGAGGAGGACGCCGAAGGUGGGGCUAAUGACUGGGGUGAAGUCAUAACAAGGUAGCCGUA
This 1449-nucleotide ribosomal RNA is filed under the name uncultured bacterium. Its description in RNAcentral is "bacterial SSU rRNA". It matches the Rfam family "Bacterial small subunit ribosomal RNA". The record is from RNAcentral.